UCCGGUGACUAUACCCAGUUGGAAACACACGUUCCCAUUCCGAACACGUUCGUUAAGCUUCUGGGGCCGAUGAUAGUGCAUACCAGUGCGAAAGUAGGUCAUCGCCGGAA
This 110-nucleotide ribosomal RNA is filed under the name Polystyrenella longa. The record is from RNAcentral. Lineage: Bacteria; Pseudomonadati; Planctomycetota; Planctomycetia; Planctomycetales; Planctomycetaceae.